GUGUAUGAAUUAUGGUGCAUAAGAGACUUCUUAUAGAAGGACUCUCCUUUUUCUAUGUGCCAUAAAAAUCUCAUUCAAUUUUGGUGACAAAUCAUAGGAUUUCUGGUUUAUCUUUUAAGGCAACGCGUAUAGUUAAGAGCCUUCAUGAAGAAGGACUCUCCAACUUCACAUGCAAAAAAGAGGUGGGGUGGCAUUUAUUUUUGGUGUGACUUUUGAUAGGCAUAGAGGAGUCCUUCUCCACUUGAAACUGUUUCAAGUUCGAUAAGGAUCCAAUCUAAAUUGACCCAAUCCCAUUA
This 296-nucleotide long non-coding RNA is filed under the name Elaeis guineensis (African oil palm). RNAcentral describes it as "long non-coding RNA (EGUI_LNC078957)". The record is from RNAcentral. Lineage: Eukaryota; Viridiplantae; Streptophyta; Magnoliopsida; Arecales; Arecaceae.